UACGUAGGGGGCAAGCGUUGUCCGGAAUCAUUGGGCGUAAAGAGCGUGUAGGCGGCCCGGUAAGUCCGCUGUGAAAGUCCAGGGCUCAACCCUGGGAUGCCGGUGGAUACUGUCGAGCUCGAGUCCGGAAGAGGCGAGUGGAAUUCCUGGUGUAGCGGUGAAAUGCGCAGAUAUCAGGAGGAACACCAAUGGCGAAGGCAGCUCGCUGGGACGUGACUGACGCUGAGACGCGAAAGCGUGGGGAGCAAACAGG
RNAcentral lists this ribosomal RNA (253 nucleotides) under uncultured bacterium. Its description in RNAcentral is "partial 16S ribosomal RNA". It matches the Rfam family "Bacterial small subunit ribosomal RNA", at positions 524 to 776 of the family's 1533-position model. The record is from RNAcentral.